UUUAAGGGUCCUGAAGGAACGUUGAAGACGACGACGUUGAUAGGCCGGGUGUGUAAGCGCAGCGAUGCGUUGAGCUAACCGGUACUAAUGAACCGUGAGGCUUAACCUU
RNAcentral lists this ribosomal RNA (109 nucleotides) under Escherichia coli. Its description in RNAcentral is "partial 23S ribosomal RNA". It matches the Rfam family "Bacterial large subunit ribosomal RNA", at positions 2812 to 2925 of the family's 2925-position model. RNAcentral also lists the same sequence under 3 other names. The record is from RNAcentral. Lineage: Bacteria; Pseudomonadati; Pseudomonadota; Gammaproteobacteria; Enterobacterales; Enterobacteriaceae.